GACGGAGGAUGCAAGCGUUAUCCGGAAUGAUUGGGCGUAAAGCGUCCGCAGGUGGCAAUUCAAGUCUGCUGUUAAAGCGCAGGGCUUAACUCUGUAAAGGCAGUGGAAACUGAAUAGCUAGAGUGUGGUAGGGGCAGAGGGAAUUCCCAGUGAAGCGGUGAAAUGCGUAGAGAUUGGGAAGAACAUCGGUGGCGAAGGCGCUCUGCUGGACCAUAACUGACACUCACAGGACGAAAGCUAGGGGAGCGAAUGGG
Molecule: ribosomal RNA, 254 nt
Filed under: uncultured bacterium
Lineage: Bacteria
Description: partial 16S ribosomal RNA
Rfam family: Bacterial small subunit ribosomal RNA
Source: RNAcentral